GUACACUCCUGCGGGAGGCAGCAGUGGGGAAUAUUGGACAAUGGGCGCAAGCCUGAUCCAGCCAUGCCGCGUGAGUGAUGAAGGCCCUAGGGUUGUAAAGCUCUUUCACCGGUGAAGAUAAUGACGGUAACCGGAGAAGAAGCCCCGGCUAACUUCGUGCCAGCAGCCGCGGUAAUACGAAGGGGGCUAGCGUUGUUCGGAUUUACUGGGCGUAAAGCGCACGUAGGCGGACUAUUAAGUCAGGGGUGAAAUCCCGGGGCUCAACCCCGGAACUGCCUUUGAUACUGGUAGUCUUGAGUUCGAGAGAGGUGAGUGGAAUUCCGAGUGUAGAGGUGAAAUUCGUAGAUAUUCGGAGGAACACCAGUGGCGAAGGCGGCUCACUGGCUCGAUACUGACGCUGAGGUGCGAAAGCGUGGGGAGCAAACAGGAUUAGAUACCCUAGUAGUCCCA
Molecule: ribosomal RNA, 450 nt
Filed under: uncultured organism
Description: partial 16S ribosomal RNA
Rfam family: Bacterial small subunit ribosomal RNA
Source: RNAcentral